Non-coding RNA from Melospiza melodia melodia, 423 nucleotides. The record is from the annotation of a RefSeq genome assembly. Lineage: Eukaryota; Metazoa; Chordata; Aves; Passeriformes; Passerellidae.
CGGGCGGCCGUGACCCUGCUGGAGUGCGGGGGGGACCUCCAGCCCCCCGGGGGGUCCCUGCGCCUCCUCUGCCAUGGGUCUGGGAUCAAUUUUGGACUAACCAGUUUUACUUGGGUUCGCCAGCGGCCUGGGCAGGGGCUGGAAUGGGUUGCGCGGAUUGACUACGAUGGAGACACCUACUACGGGGAUUCGGUGCAGGGCCGGUUCACGAUCUCCAGGGACAACGGGCAGAGCUCGGUGACGCUGACCAUGAACAGCCUCAAGGACGAGGAUUCUGCCAUCUAUUUCUGUGGCAAAGCUCCAGAAGGAAAUUAUGGUGGUGCUGCUGUUGAUGGUAUUGACCUCAUCCCCAUGGCUGUGUCCCCACCUGUCUCGGUUCCCCAGACCCUUCUCCCAAACCUCAGCCCCUGGCCCCAUUUCUGA